GUCCUCAUUUUGGCAGUACAUAUACUAAAAUUGGAACAAUACAGAGAUUAGAAUGGCCCCUGCAAAAGGAUGACAUGCAAAUUUGUGAAGUGCUCCACUAUUUU
Molecule: small nuclear RNA, 104 nt
Filed under: Chinchilla lanigera (long-tailed chinchilla)
Lineage: Eukaryota; Metazoa; Chordata; Mammalia; Rodentia; Chinchillidae
Source: RNAcentral